This 293-nucleotide unclassified non-coding RNA is filed under the name Hevea brasiliensis (rubber tree). The record is from RNAcentral. Lineage: Eukaryota; Viridiplantae; Streptophyta; Magnoliopsida; Malpighiales; Euphorbiaceae.
UAACAGAUUACAAGUAUAACUAAAAGGGUAGUUAAACUAAUUAAAAUGUAACCGUAUGUGAAAAAAGUCAUUUUCCAUUGGAUAUUACAAAUGGUGUUUUUAUGAAUGAUCAUAACCAAUCAAAAUUUUAAUUAUAAGGACAUCUUGGAAAUAGUUUUUGAUAUAUUUUAUUGCAUAAUUUUAUUUAUUUUAUUGGAUAACUAAUGGUUCAACCAUUGAAGCAGUUGAUCUCUAAAUUGACCAGAUUGAUAGUUUGAUGGUUUUGAUGAUACUAGUUUUAUCACUGAACUUUG